This 950-nucleotide long non-coding RNA is filed under the name Bactrocera tryoni. Its description in RNAcentral is "uncharacterized LOC120779681, transcript variant X1". The record is from RNAcentral. Lineage: Eukaryota; Metazoa; Arthropoda; Insecta; Diptera; Tephritidae.
CUAUUACAAUUAUAACGGGUGGUACUCCACAGUUUUAUUUGCCCUUGUGGAUUAUAGAUAUCGCUUCCUCUACAUUAAUGUUGGCUGCCCAGGUCGAUGCAAUGACUCAAAAAUUUUUCAAUGUAGCAAACUAAAUACUGCAUUGAAGGACCCAAUCUUUACUGCAAAAAGCAAAACUAUUAAUGGCGUGAAUGUUCCUGUGGGCAUUAUGGGUGAUUCGGCUUUCCGAUUUGCCAACAAUCUAAUGAAGCCCUAUCCAUUCCAAGUACUUACAUCCUCCAGAGCAUGAAAAAAUUUUUAAUUACCAAUUGUCCAAAUGCCGAAGAGUGGUGGAAAAUGCGUUUGGACACCUAAAGGCUCGUUUUAGGAGAAUAGGGAAAGGAGUCGACAACCACAUCAAAAAUGUUCCUCUUAUAAUUAAAGCAGCCUGUACAUUGCAUAACUUUUUAAAUUGUCAUAAUGAUGUCAUCAACCACAAAUGGAUAGAAGAACAAACUACUUACGAAAGUAGUGUUCGCCUGGAACAGCCCGAGCGCACAGAUGCUGUAGCAGAUUUUGAAGCAGAACCUGAAACAAUUAGAAGAGCGAUUGCGAAUUCAUUUUACUCCGGAGUCGUCGAAAGUCCUGCAAGCUCAUCGCUUGAAAUGAAUCGGGAUUGGCUGCUCGUCGAAGGGUAGAUAGCAGCGCAACCAAUGUUGUCUUCUGGUUCCACAUCUUGAAUUAAAAUAAAAUAAUAAAUAAAAGAGCAAACAAAAGUUUCAUUUUUAUAUUACCUAUACUCUCUUGCAUGAUUUCUUUGAAAUUUACUGCUUUAUUACCACUGAGUAUUUCUUCCACCUCCUUUAGUGGAUCCAAGAGGAAGGCGAACCACCAGUCAUACCCACCGCAUUCUUUUCUAAUCUAUAAAAUAAAAUACAUAUUAUAAUGCUGUGAGUAUGCAGCAAAAUAUA